CCUACGGGAGGCAGCAGUGAGGAAUAUUGGUCAAUGGACGCAAGUCUGAACCAGCCAAGCCGCGUGCAGGAAGACGGCUCUAUGAGUUGUAAACUUCUUUUGUACGGGAGUAAACGCAGAUACGCGUAUCUGUCUGAAAGUAUCGUACGAAUAAGGAUCGGCUAACUCCGUGCCAGCAGCCGCGGUAAUACGGAGGAUUCGAGCGUUAUCCGGAUUUAUUGGGUUUAAAGGGUGCGUAGGCGGUCGGGUAAGUUAGAUGUGAAAUCCCGAGGCUCAACUUCGGAAUUGCCUCUGAAACUGGUCGGCUAGAGAGUAGUUGAGGUAGGCGGAAUGUGUGGUGUAGCGGUGAAAUGCUUAGAUAUCAUGCAGAACACCGAUUGCGAAGGCAGCUUACCAAGCUACUUCUGACGUUGAGGCACGAAAGCGUGGGGAUCAAACAGGAUUAGAUACCCUAGUAGUC
RNAcentral lists this ribosomal RNA (460 nucleotides) under uncultured bacterium. Its description in RNAcentral is "partial 16S ribosomal RNA". It matches the Rfam family "Bacterial small subunit ribosomal RNA", at positions 338 to 795 of the family's 1533-position model. The record is from RNAcentral.